GCCGCAGCAAGGUGCUCGGUGCUCGCUUCCGCCGCGCGUUCCCCGCGGUGACAGACGGAUAUGGCGGCGGACGGUAUCCCGGAGUGGGUCACUGCAUUGCCCGGGGCCUGGGGUUACGGUGUGACUCGGGGUGGCCGAGUCUUUUUUAUCAAUGAAGAAGCAAAAAGCACCACCUGGUUGCACCCGGUCACUGGGGAGGCUGUGCUUACUGGACACAGGAAGACUCCAGAUUUACCCACGGGAUGGGAGGAGGGCUUCACGUUUGAAGGUGCCAGAUACUACUUAAAGUAAGGAAACGGCGCUUGUAUGGCUCUGAGAUUCUGUUGGAGAAUAAUGUGUGUGUUUUUAUUUAGGAGAAUGUUAACAUAAGGAUUUAACUAUUUUGUUACCAGUUUGGCAUGCACACAGGGUGCAACAAUAUGCCGAACUUCUUUCUGGGAGCCGAGGGAUUGAAGAACAUGUUUUUGUCCUUCAGUGAAACCUGAGAUGUAAAGAAUUCUGUUAGGAUUUGUGCUUCUUGUCUGUAUCGAUUCUGUUUGCCGUUUUAGGUCCAUUUUUUGUAUUAUGUUCAAUAAAGCUGCUUUGAGUGUUUUUGCAUCAGAGUCCUGCUCCAGGCCUCACAACUGUAAUUCUGGUUUUGUGUUUAGUGACGGGUAUAACUAAUAGUGCCAGUUGCUGAAAUAUUUCUAUCUUCGGUUCUGUUUAUAUGAUUAAUAUUUUGUAUCUGUCCUGUUUUCCCAACUUGCUUUCUGUGUUAUGUUCCUGUUGGGCUGCAUAGUGAUGGACAAUUAAGGAGUUGCUCCUGCACUGUUCUGUUUACUUUAGUGUGAAGGCUUCUCUUACUGCGUUGUAUAAACAUACAGGGAUGGGAUAUGGUAAUUUGCCAGGGAAAACUGCCCUUCCUAUCACACCAGCUGCCUGCAGAGCUGACCUGGCCUGGAGUAAAUGUGCUUUUAUUUGUGAUGACCAGGGGAGCUCUAUUUAUGAUAGAAUAAGAUUUGACAUUUUUGGCAAUAUUUCUCCUUGUAAUUGUUUCAUAUUGUUUUAGUGUAAAACAUAUUUGUAUAAAACGUAAUGUGCAGCUCCGAUAUGUUUGUGAUACACAGGGAUGUAACAUGUAGUAGUACGGAGAGAGAGGCAUCAGGAAGGGAUAUAACAUGUAGUAGUACGGAGAGAGAGAGGCAUGAGAAAGGGAUAUAACAUGUAGUAGUACUGAGAGAGAGGCAUGAGGAAGGGAUAUAACAUGUAGUAGUACUGAGAGAGAGGCAUGAGGAGGGGAUAUAACAUAUAGUAGUACUGAGAGAGAGGCAUGAGGAAGGGAUAUAACAUGUAGUAGUACUGAGAGAGAGGCAUGAGGAAGGGAUAUAACAUAUAGUAGUACUGAGAGAGAGACAUGAGGAAGGGAUAUAACAUGUAGUAGUACUGAGAGAGAGAGGCAUGAGGAAGGGAUAUAACAUGUAGUAGUACUGAGAGAGAGGCAUAUUUGUAUAAAACGUAAUGUGCAGCUCCGAUAUGUUUGUGAUACACAGGGAUGUAACAUGUAGUAGUACGGAGAGUGAGGCAUCAGGAAGGGAUAUAACAUGUAAUAGUACUGAUAGAGAGAGAGGCAUGAGAAAGGGAUAUAACAUGUAGUAGUACUGAGAGAGAGGCAUGAGGAAGGGAUAUAACAUGUAGUAGUACUGAGAGAGAGGCAUGAGGAAGGGAUAUAACAUAUAGUAGUACUGAGAGAGAGGCAUGAGGAAGGGAUAUAACUUGUAGUAGUACUGAGAGAGAGGCAUGAGGAAGGGAUAUAACAUGUAGUAGUACUGAGAGAGAGGCAUGAGCAAGGGAUAUAACAUAUAGUAGUACUGAGAGAGAGGCAUGAGGAAGGGAUAUAACAUGUAGUAGUACUGAGAGAGAGGCAUGAGGAAGGGAUAUAACAUGUAGUAGUACUGAGAGAGAGGCAUGAGGAAGGGAUAUAACAUGUAGUAGUACUGAGAGAGAGGCAUGAGGAAGGGAUAUAACAUGUAGUAGUACUGAGAGAGAGGCAUGAGGAAGGGAUAUAACAUGUAGUAGUACUGAGAGAGAGGCAUGAGGAAGGGAUAUAACAUGUAGUAGUACUGAGAGAGAGACAUGAGGAAGGGAUAUAACAUGUAGUAGUACUGAGAGAGAGAGAGAGAGAGAGAGAGAGAGGCAUGAGGAAGGGAUAUAACAUGUAGUAGUACUGAGAGAGAGGCAUGAGGAAGGGAUAUAACAUGUAGUAGUACUGAGAGAGAGGCAUGAGGAAGGGAUAUAACAUGUAGUAGUACUGAGAGAGAGGCAUGAGGAAGGGAUAUAACAUGUAGUAGUACUGAGAGAGAGGCAUGAGGAAGGGAUAUAACAUGUAGUAGUACUGAGAGAGAGACAUGAGGAAGGGAUAUAACAUGUAGUAGUACUGAGAGAGAGAGAGGCAUGAGGAACUGAUAUAACAUGUAGUAGUACUGAGAGAGAGGCAUAUUUGUAUAAAACGUAAUGUGCAGCUCCGAUAUGUUUGUGAUACACAGGGAUGUAACAUGUAGUAGUACGGAGAAAGAGGCAUCAGGAAGGGAUAUAACAUGUACUGAUAGAGAGAGAGGCAUGAGAAAGGGAUAUAACAUGUAGUAGUACUGAGAGAGAGGCAUGAGGAAGGGAUAUAACAUGUAGUAGUACUGAGAGAGAGACAUGAGGAAGGGAUAUAACAUAUAGUAGUACUGAGAGAGAGAGAGAGAGAGAGGCAUGAGGAAGGGAUAUAACAUGUAGUAGUAAGGAGAGAGAGGCAUGAGGAAGGGAUAUAACAUGUAGUAGUAAGGAGAGAGAGGCAUGAGGAAGGGAUAUAACGUGUAGUAGUACUGAGAGAGAGGCAUGAGGAAGGGAUAUAACAUGUAGUAGUACUGAGAGAGAGGCAUAUUUGUAUAAAACGUAAUGUGCAGCUCCGAUAUGUUUGUGAUACACAGGGAUGUAACAUGUAGUAGUACGGAUAGAGAGGCAUCAGGAAGGGAUAUAACAUGUAGUAGUACUGAGAGAGAGAGACAUGAGGAAGGGAUAUAACAUAUAGUAGUACUGAGAGAGAGAGAGAGAGAGAGAGAGGCAUGCGAAAGGGAUAUAACAUGUAGUAGUACUGAGAGAGAGGCAUGAGGAAGGGAUAUAACAUGUAGUAGUACUGAGAGAGAGGCAUGAGGAAGGGAUAUAACAUGUAGUAGUACUGAGAGAGAGGCAUAUUUGUAUAAAACGUAAUGUGCAGCUCCGAUAUGUUUGUGAUACACAGGGAUGUAACAUGUAGUAGUACGGAUAGAGAGGCAUCAGGAAGGGAUAUAACAUGUAGUAGUACUGAGAGAGAGAGGCAUGAGAAAGGGAUAUAAGAUGUAGUAGUACUGAGAGAGAGGCAUGAGGAAGGGAUAUAACAUGUAGUAGUACGGAGAGAGAGGCAUGAGGAAGGGAUAUAACAUAUAGUAGUACUGAGAGAGAGGCAUGAGGAAGGGAAUAUAACAUGUAGUAGUACUGAGAGAGAGGCAUGAGGAAGGGAUAUAACAUGUAGUAGUACUGAGAGAGAGGCAUGAGGAAGGGAUAUAACGUGUAGUAGUACUGAGAGAGAGAGGCAUGAGGAAGGGAUAUAACAUAUAGUAGUACUGAGAGAGAGAGAGAGAGAGAGGCAUGAGUGAGGGAUAUAACGUGUAGUAGUACUGAGAGAGAGAGGCAUGAGGAAGGGAUAUAACAUAUAGUAGUACUGAGAGGAGGCAUGAGGAAGGGAUAUAACAUAUAGUAGUACUGAGAGAGAGAGGCAUGAGGAAGGGAUAAAACAUAUAGUAGUACUGAGAGAGAGAGAGGCAUGAGGAAGGGAUAUAACAUAUAGUAGUACUGAGAGAGAGAGGCAUGAGGAAGGGAUAUAACAUGUAGUACUGAGAGAGAGAGAGGCAUGAGGAAGGGAUAUAACAUGUUGUAGUACUGAGAGAGAGGCAUGAGGAAGGGAUAUAACAUGUAGUAGUACUGAGAGAGAGAGGCAUGAGGAAGGGAUAUAAUGUGUAGUAGUACUGAGAGUGAGAGGCAUGAGGAAGGGAUAUAACAUGUAGUAGUACUGAGAGAGAGAGGUAUGAGGAAGGGAUAUAACAUGUAGUAGUACUCAGAGAGAGGCAUGAGGAAGGGAUAUAACAUAUAGUAGUACUGAGAGAGAGAGGCAUGAGGAAGGGAUAUAACAUGUAGUAGUACUGAGAGAGAGAGAGAGAGAGAGGCAUGAGAAAGGGAUAUAACAUAUAGUAGUACUGAGAGAGAGAGGCAUGAGGAAGAGAUAUAACAUAUAGUAGUACUGAGAGAGAGAGUAGUAGUACUGAGAGAGAGAGGCAUGAGGAAGGGAUAUAACGUAGUACUGAGAGAGAGAGGCAUGAGGAAGGGAUAUAACAUGUUGUAGUACUGAGAGAGAGGCAUGAGGAAGGGAUAUAACAUGUAGUAGUACUGAGAGAGAGAGAGGCAUGAGGAAGGAAUAUAAAAUGUAGUAGUACUGAGAGAGAGAGGCAUGAGGAAGGGAUAUAAUGUGUAGUAGUACUGAGAGUGAGAGGUAUGAGGAAGGGAUAUAACAUAUAGUAGUACUGAGAGAGAGAGAGAGAGGCAUGAGGAAGGGAUAUAACAUGUAGUAGUGCUGAGAGAGGCAUGAGGAAGGGAUAUAACAUGUAGUAGUACUGAGAGAGAGAGAGAGAGAGAGGCAUGAGUAAGGGAUAUACCAUGUAGUAGUACUGAGAGAGAGAGGCAUGAGGAAGGGAUAUAACAUGUAGUAGUACUGAGAGAGAUGCAUGAGGAAGGGAUAUGACGUAGUUGUACUGAGAGAGAGAGGCAUGAGGAAGGGAUAUAACAUGUAGUAGUACUGAGAGAGAGAGAGAGGCAUGAGUAAGGGAUAUAACGUGUAGUAGUACUGAGAGAGAGAGGCAUGAGGAAGGGAUAUAACAUGUAGUAGUACUGAGAGGCAUGAGGAAGGGAUAUAACAUGUAGUAGUACUCAGAGAGAGAGAGGCAUGAGGAAGGGAUAUAACAUGUAGUAGUACUGAGAGAGAGGCAUGAGGAAGGGAUAUAACAUGUAGUAGUACUGAGAGAGAGGCAUGAGGAAGGGAUAUAACAUGUAGUAGUAACUGAGAGAGAGACAUAAGGAAGGGAUAUAACAUGUAGUAGUACUGAGAGUACUAAUAACAGUAUUAGUGACUAGUGAGGUUUUAUUGUCUAAUAACAGUAUUAGUGACUAGUGAGGUUUUAUUGUCUAUUAACCGUAUUAGUAAAUAGUGAUGUUUUAUUGUCUAAUAACCGUAUUAGUGAAUAGUGAUAACAUAUAGUAGUACUGAGAGAGAGGCAUGAGGAAGGGAUAUAACUUGUAGUAGUACUGAGAGAGAGGCAUGAGGAAGGGAUAUAACAUGUAGUAGUACUGAGAGAGAGGCAUGAGCAAGGGAUAUAACAUAUAGUAGUACUGAGAGAGAGGCAUGAGGAAGGGAUAUAACAUGUAGUAGUACUGAGAGAGAGGCAUGAGGAAGGGAUAUAACAUGUAGUAGUACUGAGAGAGAGGCAUGAGGAAGGGAUAUAACAUGUAGUAGUACUGAGAGAGAGGCAUGAGGAAGGGAUAUAACAUGUAGUAGUACUGAGAGAGAGGCAUGAGGAAGGGAUAUAACAUGUAGUAGUACUGAGAGAGAGGCAUGAGGAAGGGAUAUAACAUGUAGUAGUACUGAGAGAGAGACAUGAGGAAGGGAUAUAACAUGUAGUAGUACUGAGAGAGAGAGAGAGAGAGAGAGAGAGGCAUGAGGAAGGGAUAUAACAUGUAGUAGUACUGAGAGAGAGGCAUGAGGAAGGGAUAUAACAUGUAGUAGUACUGAGAGAGAGGCAUGAGGAAGGGAUAUAACAUGUAGUAGUACUGAGAGAGAGGCAUGAGGAAGGGAUAUAACAUGUAGUAGUACUGAGAGAGAGGCAUGAGGAAGGGAUAUAACAUGUAGUAGUACUGAGAGAGAGACAUGAGGAAGGGAUAUAACAUGUAGUAGUACUGAGAGAGAGAGAGGCAUGAGGAACUGAUAUAACAUGUAGUAGUACUGAGAGAGAGGCAUAUUUGUAUAAAACGUAAUGUGCAGCUCCGAUAUGUUUGUGAUACACAGGGAUGUAACAUGUAGUAGUACGGAGAAAGAGGCAUCAGGAAGGGAUAUAACAUGUACUGAUAGAGAGAGAGGCAUGAGAAAGGGAUAUAACAUGUAGUAGUACUGAGAGAGAGGCAUGAGGAAGGGAUAUAACAUGUAGUAGUACUGAGAGAGAGACAUGAGGAAGGGAUAUAACAUAUAGUAGUACUGAGAGAGAGAGAGAGAGAGAGGCAUGAGGAAGGGAUAUAACAUGUAGUAGUAAGGAGAGAGAGGCAUGAGGAAGGGAUAUAACAUGUAGUAGUAAGGAGAGAGAGGCAUGAGGAAGGGAUAUAACGUGUAGUAGUACUGAGAGAGAGGCAUGAGGAAGGGAUAUAACAUGUAGUAGUACUGAGAGAGAGGCAUAUUUGUAUAAAACGUAAUGUGCAGCUCCGAUAUGUUUGUGAUACACAGGGAUGUAACAUGUAGUAGUACGGAUAGAGAGGCAUCAGGAAGGGAUAUAACAUGUAGUAGUACUGAGAGAGAGAGACAUGAGGAAGGGAUAUAACAUAUAGUAGUACUGAGAGAGAGAGAGAGAGAGAGAGAGAGGCAUGCGAAAGGGAUAUAACAUGUAGUAGUACUGAGAGAGAGGCAUGAGGAAGGGAUAUAACAUGUAGUAGUACUGAGAGAGAGGCAUGAGGAAGGGAUAUAACAUGUAGUAGUACUGAGAGAGAGGCAUAUUUGUAUAAAACGUAAUGUGCAGCUCCGAUAUGUUUGUGAUACACAGGGAUGUAACAUGUAGUAGUACGGAUAGAGAGGCAUCAGGAAGGGAUAUAACAUGUAGUAGUACUGAGAGAGAGAGGCAUGAGAAAGGGAUAUAAGAUGUAGUAGUACUGAGAGAGAGGCAUGAGGAAGGGAUAUAACAUGUAGUAGUACGGAGAGAGAGGCAUGAGGAAGGGAUAUAACAUAUAGUAGUACUGAGAGAGAGGCAUGAGGAAGGGAAUAUAACAUGUAGUAGUACUGAGAGAGAGGCAUGAGGAAGGGAUAUAACAUGUAGUAGUACUGAGAGAGAGGCAUGAGGAAGGGAUAUAACGUGUAGUAGUACUGAGAGAGAGAGGCAUGAGGAAGGGAUAUAACAUAUAGUAGUACUGAGAGAGAGAGAGAGAGAGAGGCAUGAGUGAGGGAUAUAACGUGUAGUAGUACUGAGAGAGAGAGGCAUGAGGAAGGGAUAUAACAUAUAGUAGUACUGAGAGGAGGCAUGAGGAAGGGAUAUAACAUAUAGUAGUACUGAGAGAGAGAGGCAUGAGGAAGGGAUAAAACAUAUAGUAGUACUGAGAGAGAGAGAGGCAUGAGGAAGGGAUAUAACAUAUAGUAGUACUGAGAGAGAGAGGCAUGAGGAAGGGAUAUAACAUGUAGUACUGAGAGAGAGAGAGGCAUGAGGAAGGGAUAUAACAUGUUGUAGUACUGAGAGAGAGGCAUGAGGAAGGGAUAUAACAUGUAGUAGUACUGAGAGAGAGAGGCAUGAGGAAGGGAUAUAAUGUGUAGUAGUACUGAGAGUGAGAGGCAUGAGGAAGGGAUAUAACAUGUAGUAGUACUGAGAGAGAGAGGCAUGAGGAAGGGAUAUAACAUGUUGUAGUACUGAGAGAGAGGCAUGAGGAAGGGAUAUAACAUGUAGUAGUACUGAGAGAGAGAGAGGCAUGAGGAA
RNA transcript from Bombina bombina (fire-bellied toad), 7772 nucleotides. It is a transcript of the gene named pleckstrin homology domain containing A5, with no coding region annotated. The transcript has 4 exons. NCBI's taxonomy places the organism in Eukaryota, Metazoa, Chordata, Amphibia, Anura, Bombinatoridae. The record is from RefSeq and is a predicted model, not a curated record.